AAAAUUGAAAUAUUUUUUAUUUUAUUUUUUUAAAUAAAAAGGAAGAGAUUCAAUGUUUUCUCCUGAGCAUGAGAUGAGUUCCUGCAACUUGUGUGUGGGGUUGCUGGUUACUUUUGAUGAAUGUUCUGGGUUCCUUAAAUGGGACUUAGAACAGAGAAAACCCAAUCUGA
Non-coding RNA from Pelobates cultripes (western spadefoot toad), 170 nucleotides. The record is from the annotation of a GenBank genome assembly. NCBI's taxonomy places the organism in Eukaryota, Metazoa, Chordata, Amphibia, Anura, Pelobatidae.